RNAcentral lists this unclassified non-coding RNA (1224 nucleotides) under Homarus americanus (American lobster). RNAcentral's name for it is "nicotinamide riboside kinase 2-like, transcript variant X3". The record is from RNAcentral. Lineage: Eukaryota; Metazoa; Arthropoda; Malacostraca; Decapoda; Nephropidae.
GUGUUGGAGGAGUCACGCGGCAGCCAGACCAGGUGUGUAUUGAACAAGUGUACCUGUACAUACCAACAUCAUUAAGUGGGAUCCUCACAUGAGAUGUCCUGGUCACUUGCCAAGAGAGGUUUAGAGCUGUUUGACAGUGAUCUGCCGGAAUAUAGUAAUACUGACAAGAAGACCAAAGGUAACAGGAAGUCGUUGGAGUUGGGUACCCAUCGUCAGGGAGUCAGGAGGGCAGCUAACCAGAAGAGGCAAAGUCAACUGAGGGAUAGAGAAGCAAAGAACCAACUUAUUCAGAAACAAGUAGUCAAUGUUCUAGACCAGUACAAGAAUAAUGCACGAGUCGAUCACACUGUUGACAAUAUUAGACUACUGAAGAAGAUUGACAAGAAGAGAACCCCCACAGAGUAUAUUGAUCAGGUCACAAAUCACCAUCUUAAAGAAUUAGAAAAGAAGGUUGUCGACCAUGAUCUUGUCCAGCGGCAGAAGGGCAACAAGAAACACGGAGCAGGAGAAUCAUCGGUGUUCAGCGACGAAGACUUUGAGAAGAUGAACGAAGAGUGGCUUCGUCUCUACUAACCAACCUCACCUACAGUACUUUGAGCUCUUAACCAUUGCUCAUAAAACUUGCCGAUUCACUUGUUGGAAAUAGUUGUGGCACGAUUGAUGGAGAGGAGAAAAAAGUUCCCAUUACUGUGGAUGUUAAAAAAAUGCCCGACAUGUGUGAUAGUCCACAAAAAUGUGUGUGAACCAAAAACUGAGAGAUUUUCUUAGCAGCUCACGAGGAAAGAUUUUCAGACUUUAAAUGAUUAUGGAUCAUUUAGACUCGACCAAAAUAGCCACUAGUAAUGUUUGGGCAUGACAAAGUGAUCGGCGAGUGUGUGCUUGGAGUGUCAGCGGCCGUGGCGUCGUAUUACCUCGUGUGGGUUGUGGGACUGCCGUUUAUGGACGAGGAUAGUUCCCUAAGACCCUUUUUCCCCGAUCCUAUCAUUGCCAUCGCCACCCCUGCCAUUAUCCUCGUGUUUCUUUUGACACUUACUGGAAUAUAUAUUGUAAGGUCAUUAUACACAGCUUCCUGCACUGAAAGAGACAAGUUAAAGCAACUGUAGUGGUACUGCACUUAUUGACACUGAUUGGCUUUGGCUUUGACUUGCAUGUUAUUUGUUUUUUAAUAAUCAGUUUCAUAUUUUCUGCAACGAGUGCUUAGUUUAUUGUCAUAAUUGAAUAUUA